UUGGAGGGCAAGUCUGGUGCCAGCAGCCGCGGUAAUUCCAGCUCCAAUAGCGUAUAUUAAAGUUGUUGCAGUUAAAAAGCUCGUAGUUGGAUUUCGGGGUUCUACCGUUGGUCGGGCUUUGUCUGUACUGGCGUGUAGAAUUUCUACCUUCUGGGGAACCACCAUGUUAUUAAUUUAGCGUGGUGGGAAACCAGGACCUUUACCUUGAAAAAAUUAGAGUGUUCAAAGCAGGCUUAUGUCUGAAUACAUUAGCAUGGAAUAAUAGAAUAGGACGGUGGUCCUGUUUUGUUGGUUUCUGAAUCACCGUAAUGAUUAAUAGGGAUAGUUGGGGGCAUUAGUAUUCAAUUGUCAGAGGUGAAAUUCUUGGAUUUAUUGAAGACUAACUUCUGCGAAAGCAUUUGCCAAGGAUGUUUUCAUUAAUCAAGGACGAGAGUUAGGGGAUCGAAGACGAUCAGAUACCGUCGUAGUCUUAACCAUAAACUAUGCCGACUAGGGAUCGGACGAUGUUAAUUUUUCUUGACUCGUUCGGCGCCUUACGGGAAA
Molecule: ribosomal RNA, 543 nt
Filed under: uncultured Glomeromycotina
Lineage: Eukaryota; Fungi; Glomeromycota
Description: SSU rRNA
Rfam family: Eukaryotic small subunit ribosomal RNA
Source: RNAcentral